CCAGAGCGCGACCCUAGCCGCGUCCUCGCCUCCUCCUCCAUCCGCGCCGCCUCCUCGCCUCCUCCUCCAUCCGCGCGCCGCCUCCUCCAUUCGCGCGCCUCGGCGGCGACCCCAUGGCGGGCGGCCGGGUCGGAGCGGUCCCCCGCGUCCCUCCUUCCCCGCUCAGCGCUCUCUAGCCGUCGCGCAGCAACUCCUCUCGUCUCCUUCUCUCGCUUCAGCCGCCGCCGCUAGCAGCUCCGCCUCCCCGCCUGGCAGCGGCCAGAGAAGAGCUGCUUCGCCUCCCCACCUCACCCCCCGCUCCUCUCCACCCCGUAGCCGCCUCCCUAGCUCCUCGUCCCCUUCACCAGUCCAUCCCUCCUCAUCCCAAAUCCAGCGGAUCAGAGGCGUGCGGACGCAGAGGCGAAUUUCUCCAGCGGCGAUGGCAACCUGCAAGCAAAGGGCGGUGGCGGCGGCGCUCGAUUUGAUCUGCAGGAGAGAGAGAUGGAGAGGAGGGACGCCGCCAUGGGAGAGCAGGGCCAACAUGGUCUUCAUGGUGGGCAUGGAGGAGCAGAGGAGGAUGGCGGUGGGCGGUGGGAGCAGAGUAGCAGGACUUCCUGGCGGCGCUCGCGUCAUGGUGGAGUGGAGGACUCGUCGUCCAUCAUCGCCAUCCCCAAUCUAGAUCUGAGCUAGAAAAGAAGAGAAAUAAUCUUGUGGAAUUUCAGAUCUGAGAUAGGAACGGGGAGAAAUAUCUUAUGAAAGAGCUUGACGAAAAAGGAAGGGGUGAAUCAUCUCUUUCUCACGUUCAUGUUUUUUUCUGCAUUUUAAUUUUUAAGAUGCAGGUUGGCCAAUUGUAACAAUAGAAAUAUAUGCGCAUUUUUUGUUUGUGUACUUCAAUAAAAAUAUAUUUUCACUUGACCUAGAGGGAGGUUGCAUCCAGUUAUUAUUUCUGGGAGAUUUAUUGAUGAAGGUCUAAACAUGUUAAGAUAUAUUGAUGAGAUAUCACUCAUGAAGGAAUGCUCAAGGGCAUAAGAUCUAAUGUCCUUCAUAUUAUAUAGCCAUCUGGUAUAAAUUGCUAGAGUAGAUAAGAAACAGAUUUCCAACAUAAUAAACAGCUCACAUUCCUUGGUAUUAGCAUAUGGUUCUGACAAAAAUAUGUGCUUACUGAAACAUAACGUGCUCUCCCCUGACGACCGGCGCAUGAGAGAGAAAGAGGAGAGGGAGGUGUGGCGACGGACGGGAGAGGGUCGACCUCACGGUCGGUGGCGGCUUGAUCUGAGAGGAAGACGAGAGGGAGGUGUGGCGGCGGAUGGGAGAGGGCCGACCUCGCGGUCAGUGGGGGCUCGAUCUCUACAAGAAAGAAGGGGUUUGAACUCCUCCCAUGUGAGCAUGAGAGGGUGAGAAGAACAGAGCUGGAGGCAGGACCGCGAUGCCAGAGCUCUAGGCGUCGCUCGCGUUGUCGUGGAGUGGAGAAGCGUCGCCGGCCAUGACUGAUGGUCGUUGCUCACCGGUCGUCGUCCCCUGUCCCCAAUCCAGAUCUGAGAAAGAAAGAGGAGAGGAAGAAUCCUGAGGAAGAGUUUGAUGAAGGUUUUGUCUAUCAAGAACUACAUAUGCUCGACAUGGUGUCAUGGUAUCUAUAGUUGUUGUGGAGCCUGCUGGUAUUCUCACCUUCCACUGCCUCUUUCCCCUCUCUGUGCCUCUGCGAGCUACAUUGGAAGAAUCCAUGUAUUUAGUUGUGGCAUGUUUGGCAGCUACAGCAGCUUGAUAAUUAAUUAUUUCUCAUCCAAGGGGGAUUUAUUCACAAGGCUUAUCUUGUGGUGUGUCGGCAGCGCGACUGUACGCCACUGUUACUAGCCCGUCGCCAAGCUCAUGAUGCUGGUGUGCUCCGCCCAAGUGUCUGAUCUAGGGGCCAAUUGGAAGGACAGGUUUUCUUCUUCACUGUUACCAGACUUCAAAUGUACUAUCUAGCAGACUAGCACGUGUGCAUAUGAUGACUCCUUUUAUCUUUGAUGAAGGUAUUGGGAUUUCUUUAGGGGAAAUGGUAACAAUGGUGUUUGAAAUGGUGCUUCUCAAUUAUAGGUGGAAAGCCUGGCAUGGAGGCACAUAGGCUUGCUGAUUAUGUUUCUGGAUUGGCCCUUGAGAAGGAGACCAAAGCAAACUUCAGCAGGUAUCAGGUAUCUAAGAAUGCUGAUGAUUACACUCGGAGCAAGCCUUGUCGCGGCGCUGCAAGUGUUGCCCCCCUCCUCAAGGGCAAGGUGAAGGAAGGUGCCUGUGUGGUUCUUCUGCAGCUCGCAGCGAGGAUUGCUGUGUCCCUGCACAAGAAUGCCAAGUCCUCAGAGACGAUUAAGGACAUGUACAUGCACUACAACGAGAGAUCUGGGCUGCUUCUUUGUGGCUUCCAAACUUGAAAUGUUUAUCUGGAAGUUAGUUUAGUUUUUUUUUGUGGAUUCAUGGCUUCUUACAUGUACCAUCCUCUUAGACCUUUAGGUUUCCAAAGAAACUAAAUAAAGAUAUGGUGGUAUGGUCUCAAUAGUACAACUUAGCAUUUCAUGUUUUAUAUUUUCUCUGAAAUUUGCUCUUGAACAAUAAUUGUAUCUAUGUUAGAUCCGGUAAGAAAAGGCGGCUUCCAAGUAGAGGAUGCGGGAGUGUUGGUCA
Molecule: RNA transcript, 2631 nt
Organism: Triticum dicoccoides
Lineage: Eukaryota; Viridiplantae; Streptophyta; Magnoliopsida; Poales; Poaceae
Exons: 12
Source: RefSeq, a predicted model, not a curated record